This 129-nucleotide small nucleolar RNA is filed under the name Chinchilla lanigera (long-tailed chinchilla). Its description in RNAcentral is "Small nucleolar RNA SNORA72 (ENSCLAG00000018926.1)". It matches the Rfam family "Small nucleolar RNA SNORA72". From Rfam's summary of the family: U72 is a member of the H/ACA class of snoRNAs. The snoRNA gene is located in intron 4 of the ribosomal L30 protein gene in human, mouse and chicken. The record is from Rfam by way of RNAcentral. Lineage: Eukaryota; Metazoa; Chordata; Mammalia; Rodentia; Chinchillidae.
UUGCAAAUAUUCUCAUUCUGAUUGUGUCAUAAUCAGAGCAGGCUAAACAUUCACUAUAAUAAGACCAUGCAUGUGUCCCCAGACCUAGGUCUUUCCCUAGGUCUGGUUUUAUAAAUGCUGGUGAUAAAC